UAAUGCCCUGUGGUAUCUG
This 19-nucleotide small nuclear RNA is filed under the name Arabidopsis thaliana (thale cress). RNAcentral's name for it is "snRNA_08560". The record is from RNAcentral. Lineage: Eukaryota; Viridiplantae; Streptophyta; Magnoliopsida; Brassicales; Brassicaceae.